Electrophorus electricus (electric eel) is the source of this 301-nucleotide non-coding RNA. Lineage: Eukaryota; Metazoa; Chordata; Actinopteri; Gymnotiformes; Gymnotidae. The record is from RefSeq and is a predicted model, not a curated record.
AGUCAGCCUCUUCCUGUCUUUAACAGCAGCUGCUGUAUCCGGGGAGGAAAAACCUUUCUCCUUACAAGUGAGGGGAAAAAAAACAAAAAACAACAGUGUGAUGAUCUGAGGUACAGAUGACGGAUGACUACAGAUGAGAUGUGGUGAUACUUUAUGGUGAUUGAAAGGGGAGAGGAUGACAGCGAUGCCCAACCUCUGUGAUCCAACCCCUGCCCACAGGUGCUGCAGCAUUGAAAGGCCUGGACUGAUGGAUUAUUGUAGCAGCUGCCAGAAAGGGGGUGACGUGUUUGUUUAGAAGGGC